This 100-nucleotide transfer RNA is filed under the name Ceratobasidium sp. 428. RNAcentral describes it as "tRNA-Met". It matches the Rfam family "tRNA". Rfam says of the family: Transfer RNA (tRNA) molecules are approximately 80 nucleotides in length. Their secondary structure includes four short double-helical elements and three loops (D, anti-codon, and T loops). The record is from RNAcentral. Lineage: Eukaryota; Fungi; Basidiomycota; Agaricomycetes; Cantharellales; Ceratobasidiaceae.
GCUUCCUUGGCUCAGUUGGUAGAGCGUUGGUCUCAUAUUUCUAUGAGUGGUCUCUGAUUACGUAAUCCAAAGGUCGAGAGUUCGAGCCUCUCAGGGAGCA